AAUUGCGGCUGCUACCUGCAAGUCGAACGGAGAAUCAGCAAUGAUUCUUAGUGGCGAACGGGUGAGUAACGCGUAGACAACCUGCCUUCUAGAUGGGGACAACACUGCGAAAGUGGUGCUAAUACCGAAUGUUGUAUUAAGCCUGCAUGGGCUUGAUACUAAAGGUGGCCUCUAUUUAUAAGCUAUCACUAGAAGAUGGGUCUGCGUCUGAUUAGCUAGUUGGUGAGGUAAUGGCUCACCAAGGCGAUGAUCAGUAGCCGGUCUGAGAGGAUGAACGGCCACACUGGGACUGAGACACGGCCCAGACUCCUACGGGAGGCAGCAGUGGGGAAUCUUCCGCAAUGGACGAAAGUCUGACGGAGCAACGCCGCGUGAGUGAAGAAGGUUUUCGGAUCGUAAAGCUCUGUCUUUGAGGACGAAUGUGUCUAAUGUGAAUAAUGUUAGAUAAUGACGGUACUCGAGGAGGAAGCCACGGCUAACUACGUGCCAGCAGCCGCGGUAAUACGUAGGUGGCAAGCGUUGUCCGGAAUUAUUGGGCGUAAAGCGCGCGCAGGCGGGAUAUUAAGUCUGUUUUAAAAGUUCGGGGCUCAACCCCGUGAUGGAAUGGAAACUAAUAUUCUUGAGUGCAGGAGAGGAAAGUGGAAUUCCCAGUGUAGCGGUGAAAUGCGUAGAUAUUGGGAGGAACACCAGUGGCGAAGGCGACUUUCUGGACUGUGUCUGACGCUGAGGCGCGAAAGCCAGGGGAGUGAACGGGAUUAGAUACCCCGGUAAUCCUGGCCGUAAACGAUGGGUACUAGGUGUAGGAGGUAUCGACCCCUUC
RNAcentral lists this ribosomal RNA (820 nucleotides) under uncultured Clostridium sp. RNAcentral describes it as "bacterial SSU rRNA". It matches the Rfam family "Bacterial small subunit ribosomal RNA", at positions 35 to 841 of the family's 1533-position model. The record is from RNAcentral. Lineage: Bacteria; Bacillati; Bacillota; Clostridia; Eubacteriales; Clostridiaceae.